Molecule: ribosomal RNA, 480 nt
Filed under: Triticum aestivum (bread wheat)
Lineage: Eukaryota; Viridiplantae; Streptophyta; Magnoliopsida; Poales; Poaceae
Description: partial small subunit ribosomal RNA
Source: RNAcentral
AUGAAGCUCCUAUGCUGGAACAUUAGGGGCUUCAGCAACCUGGGCCGCCGACGCCAGCUGAUUGACUACAUCCGGCAGGAAGAUAUAGAUACAGUAAGUCUUCAGGAGACGGUUUGUCAAGACUUCUCCAUUCAGGAGCUACAGGGGCUCUCUCGACACCCGUUUGUCUGGCAAUGGUUGCCGGCGUCUGGGCAGUCUGGAGGCAUACUCCUCGGGGUCAGGGAGGACUUAUUCUCGAUGGAGGAUAUGGACCGCGGGGAAUUCUUUCUGACUAUGUCCAUCACCGACCGACGUGUGAACCUCAGUUGGGAGGUGAUCAUUGUCUAUGGCCCACUUGAUCACAGGCGGUCGGCGGGAUUCCUGGCCGAGCUAAAUGAUAAGGUUGAACAUUGCACGACCCCAGUGGUGGUGGCGGGUGACUUCAACCUUAUCAGGCAGGAAGCUGACAAAAGCUCGCCCAACAUCGACCGAUGGCGUUGA